This 909-nucleotide ribosomal RNA is filed under the name Triticum aestivum (bread wheat). Its description in RNAcentral is "partial small subunit ribosomal RNA". Lineage: Eukaryota; Viridiplantae; Streptophyta; Magnoliopsida; Poales; Poaceae. The record is from RNAcentral.
AUGUCAUGGGAACGCAUGACGAUGCCGAAGAGAGCGGGUGGAAUAGGUUUUAUGGACAUGCACCUAUUUAACAUUGCUCUACUUGCCAAACAAAGCUGGAGGCUGGUCCAGAACCCAAAUAGUCUUUGUGCUAGGGUACUCAAAUCAAAAUACUACCCGAAUGGCAACCUUUUGGACACUGUGUUUGCGUCUGAUGCAUCACCUGUGUGGAAGGGAAUCAAGGCUGGUUUAGAACUCCUUAAAAAGGGUAUUAUUUGGCGAGUGGGAGAUGGUAGGAGUAUCCAAAUCAAACGAGACCAGUGGAUUCCAAGAGAUGAGGGGCUGAAAACAGCUACAUUCAUAAGGAGGUCGAGGUUAAGAUGGGUAAACCAACUCAUGAGCUCAGAUAGGAAAGAAUGGAACGAGCCACUAGUAAGGCAAAUUUUUCACUCCUUUGAUGCGGACGAGAUUUGCAAAAUCCCCAUUCCGAGGGUGGAUGCCACGGACUGCAUCGCGUGGCAUUAUGAAAAGAGUGGCAAUUUUUCAGUCAGGAGUGCAUACAAACUUGUGGCUGCCAUCGAAGGUCAUACAAACUUGGCUCCCUCCAGCUCGUCUAGCGACAGCAAUGACCGCGGCAUAUGGGACUUGAUCUGGAAGGCGAAAGUACCCCCCAAAUUCAGGAUUUUUGGUUGGAGGGUAGCAACUAAUACGCUGGCAACCCAGCACAAUAAGUUCAGACGAACCAUCAUUCAGGAUGAUACCUGCAUCAUUUGUGAUACAGCAGCAGAGGACGAGCAUCACGCGGUGAUUAACUGUACUAAAAGUAGAGCUCUGAGGCAGGCCAUGAGGGAAGGUUGGGAUCUCCCUCCAGAGAAAAGCUUCCGCUACACUGGUCGCGACUGGUUACAGAUUCUUCUGGACACGGUGUGA